CUGGCUCAGGACGAACGCUGGCGGCGUGCUUAACACAUGCAAGUCGAGCGAGGACCACACCCUUCGGGGUGUGGAGCCGAGCGGCGAACGGGUGAGUAACACGUGAGCAACCUACCCCUGGCAUCGGGAUAGCCCCGGGAAACCGGGAUUAAUACCGGAUACGACCAGGGAGGGCAUCCUGCCUGGUGGAAAGGUUCCCCUCUCGUAAGGGAGGGGUUCCGGCUGGGGAUGGGCUCGCGGCCUAUCAGCUUGUUGGUGGGGUAACGGCCUACCAAGGCGACGACGGGUAGCCGGCCUGAGAGGGCGACCGGCCACACUGGGACUGAGACACGGCCCAGACUCCUACGGGAGGCAGCAGUGGGGAAUCUUGCGCAAUGGGCGGAAGCCUGACGCAGCGACGCCGCGUGGGGGAUGAAGGCCUUCGGGUUGUAAACCUCUUUCAGCAGGGACGAAGCUGACGUG
This 462-nucleotide ribosomal RNA is filed under the name uncultured bacterium. RNAcentral's name for it is "bacterial SSU rRNA". It matches the Rfam family "Bacterial small subunit ribosomal RNA", at positions 19 to 458 of the family's 1533-position model. The record is from RNAcentral.